CCCCCCUCAAGAUGAGAUUUCCCAAUUAGUAAGACCCCUGGAAGACGACCAGGUUGAUAGGUUCGAGGUGGAAGCGCAGCAAUGUGUGGAGCUGACGAAUACUAAUCGGUCGAGGGCUUAUCCUAAA
RNAcentral lists this ribosomal RNA (127 nucleotides) under Paenibacillus montanisoli. RNAcentral describes it as "partial 23S ribosomal RNA". It matches the Rfam family "Bacterial large subunit ribosomal RNA", at positions 2793 to 2925 of the family's 2925-position model. Lineage: Bacteria; Bacillati; Bacillota; Bacilli; Caryophanales; Paenibacillaceae. The record is from RNAcentral.